This is an RNA transcript of Lycium barbarum (goji berry), 2168 nucleotides long. It is a transcript of the gene named phosphatidate cytidylyltransferase 4, chloroplastic-like, with no coding region annotated. The record is from RefSeq and is a predicted model, not a curated record. The transcript has 9 exons. Lineage: Eukaryota; Viridiplantae; Streptophyta; Magnoliopsida; Solanales; Solanaceae.
AGGAAGGAAGAACCAAAGGCCAUUAAAAAACAAUAAAAAGGAUGGGCUAAUUCUUAUGUGCUGCAGAAGGGUCUCAAACACCAACCUUUCCCCUCUUUUAUCAUCCACCUAUGUUGUACAAUCUUCUCCUCUCUCCAUCAACAAUGGCUAAUCUUGAUUUUAUCCAACUCUUCCUUCAAACAUGCUUCUUCUAAUAACUCUUAAUCAACCUUUAUGAAUAUUCAUUACCCCAUUUCAUCUAUGGCUUCUUCUUGUAUAGAUUUUGAUAGAGUCAAGUUGAUUCCUUUGUCACUCACUUCCAUAUGUAAUUGCCACUCUCAUCACCCUCCUUCUACAUCAUCAGCUCCUUUUCCUAGAACCUUAAGUUUGACCCGACCAAGAUGUUCAAUUUCAAGAAUUGGUUUGUUUCUCGAUGGGUCUAGAGUUUCAGGUGUACCAAGAACCAUUUUCUUGAAACACCCUCGAAUUAUCACGGCUGUUGCUCGUGCUGAACCCGGUCGCCUUUUCGAUGAUGAGGAAGUCAACAAAGGCAACGGUACAAUGGAGGGGGAAAUUCCCACUUCUGAACUCAAGCAGAAAAAUAGUCAAUUGAAGAAAAGGGUAGUCUUUGGACUUGGUAUAGGUAUUUCAGUCGGAGGUGUGGUAUUAGCUGGAGGAUGGGUUUUCACUGUUGCCGUUGCUGCUGCUGUUUUUGUGGGUGCACGAGAGUACUUUGAACUGGUUAGGAGUCGUGGAAUUGCUGAUGGAAUGACUCCUCCUCCUAGAUACGUAUCAAGAGUUUGCUCUGUCAUCUGUGCUCUCAUGCCUCUACUCACACUAUAUUUAGGUCAGAUUGAUGUUUCUGUUACCUCUGCGGCCUUUGUUGUUGCAAUGGCACUGCUGAUGCAAAGGCGAAUUCCUCGUUUUGCUCAACUUACUAGUGCCAUGUUUGGGCUCUUUUAUGUUGGCUAUCUGCCUUGUUUCUGGGUUAAGUUGAGAUGUGGUUUGGCAGUACCAGCUCUGAACACUAGACUAGGAGCAUCAUGGCCUGUCCUUCUUGGAGGCCCAACUCAGUGGACCGCGGGGCUUGUGGCGACCUUAAUUUCAUUCAGCAGUAUCAUUGCAGCAGAUACAUUUGCUUUUAUUGGAGGCAAGGCUUUUGGUCGGACACCGCUUACUAGCAUUAGCCCAAAGAAAACUUGGGAGGGAGCUCUUGCAGGCUUAGGAGGUUGUAUAGCCACUUCUGUGGUGUUAUCAAAAACGUUCUGUUGGCCUACAUCCACAUUAAGUGCUGUAGCUUUUGGAUUUCUGAACUUUUUUGGAUCUCUCUUUGGUGACCUCACUGAGUCAAUGAUCAAACGUGAUGCGGGUGUGAAGGACUCAGGAUCUCUCAUUCCUGGACACGGAGGAAUACUGGACAGGGUGGAUAGCUACAUAUUUACGGGUGCAUUGGCAUACUCCUUUGUGAAAAUGUUGUUACCACUUUAUGGAGUUUGAUGAACCUAAUAAGGAUUCCCUGUGAAGGAAAAAGAUACUUCAUGGCUGUUCUCUUAACUCAGGAGCAAGCACAAGGUGACAUACUCAGUACUGUAGAACAACAUCCGACGUAUGAGGUUCAGUUGAAGGUGCCAUGACAUCUUAAUAAUGGAAAUGGCAAGAUUUAACAUUUUUUGACUCCUGGUAGAGAAUCUUGAAGUGACAACCUUUUUCAGUUGCUGCAUGGAAUGGUUGAUGUUUUCAAUCCUAUUUUGAUAAAGUUUGGAUGCGAUUCGGAACCAUUGAGAUUCUCUAUUGAUUCAUCUGAUUUGAGUGAGAACGGUGAUUGCAGUGAUGAAAGCAGAUCUGUUGCUAGAACGGUGAUUGCAGUGAUGAAAGCAGAUCUGUUGCUUUCUUCAUUUUUGCUACCUUUCUAGAUAAGAUCUACUGCUUUAGAUAGGAGUUUUUUAUUCGAAUUUAUUGAGUUUUGGAUCUUUCUUACAUUUAUGGAGUUUUUUUGGGUUAUGGAUCAAAACACAAACCCUACUCAAACAUUAUUCUCUCAGAUCCAACAAUCAGAGAAAUGGAGGCGUAAAAUUAGCUUUUUAGUGUUAUUCUCUUUCUGUACAUUUAAUAAGAAGGAAAUUUUGUAUUAAAUUUGUAUUAAUAUUAUAAAAAAGUUGUAUACAAUGUUGUAGUUGGAUUAACUUUCA